Molecule: ribosomal RNA, 427 nt
Filed under: uncultured bacterium
Lineage: Bacteria
Description: bacterial SSU rRNA
Rfam family: Bacterial small subunit ribosomal RNA
Source: RNAcentral
UGGGGAAUUUUGGACAAUGGACGCAAGUCUGAUCCAGCCAUGCCGCGUGCGGGAAGAAGGCCUUCGGGUUGUAAACCGCUUUUGUCAGGGAAGAAACGAGUUUCUCUAAUACAGAGACUUAAUGACGGUACCUGAAGAAUAAGCACCGGCUAACUACGUGCCAGCAGCCGCGGUAAUACGUAGGGUGCAAGCGUUAAUCGGAAUUACUGGGCGUAAAGCGUGCGCAGGCGGUUAUAUAAGACAGAUGUGAAAUCCCCGGGCUCAACCUGGGAACUGCCUUUGUGACUGCAUAGCUAGAGUACGGUAGAGGGGGAUGGAAUUCCGCGUGUAGCAGUGAAAUGCGUAGGUAUGCGGAGGAACACCGAUGGCGAAGGCAAUCCCCUGGACCUGUACUGACGCUCAUGCACGAAAGCGUGGGGAGCAAACA